UACGUAGGGUCCGAGCGUUGUCCGGAAUUAUUGGGCGUAAAGGGCUCGUAGGCGGUUUGUCGCGUCGGGAGUGAAAACUCAGGGCUCAACCCUGAGCGUGCUUCCGAUACGGGCAGACUAGAGGUAUGCAGGGGAGAACGGAAUUCCUGGUGUAGCGGUGGAAUGCGCAGAUAUCAGGAGGGACACCGGUGGCGAAGGCGGUUCUCUGGGCAUUACCUGACGCUGAGGAGCGAAAGCAUGGGGAGCGAACAGG
This 253-nucleotide ribosomal RNA is filed under the name uncultured bacterium. RNAcentral describes it as "partial 16S ribosomal RNA". It matches the Rfam family "Bacterial small subunit ribosomal RNA", at positions 524 to 776 of the family's 1533-position model. The record is from RNAcentral.